GGUCUCCCCUUCCAAGCCCCGCCCUCGCUUGCCAUUUCGCCGCCUUGCGUCGCCCACGCGUUGUGAGAGCCAAGUACUGAGGAAAAGAAAAGAAAAAGAAAAAAGAAAGAAAGAAAGAAAGAAAGGAGGGGAAGAGUAAAAGAGUGUUUUUGGGGUUUUUUGGGUAGAAGAUUUUUGAUGGGGGCUUCGAAGCUUCUGAUAUCUUUGAUCAUCUUCUCGGUUGUGGUAGUGGGAGUGUUGGCCGACGCGGGGAUCGAGGACGAGAUCGCCGGAACCGGGGCCACGCAUGCGGCGCUGAGGCUGGAAUUAGAGCAGCUGAGGACCAAGAUCUCGGCCCUAGAAUCUAGUAUUUCAGAUAGAACCAAGGAACUAAAAGGCAAAGAUGAGAACACUGCGCAGUUGGAAAGGACUGUUCAAGAAAAGUCAGCAAGAAUUGCCUCAUUGCAGAGCGAGAUAGAAUCGCUUCAGAAAAAGGGCUCUGUUGAUGCGGAGGAACUAGUGGGGAAGGUCUCUGCUCGAGCUGUUGAACUUGAGAAGCAGGUUGAGAAACUUAGAAAUGAGAUUGAAUCGCAAACUAGGAAGAGCAAUGCAUUGGAGGCUCAGGCCAUUGGAGCAGAGAAGAAGGUGCAAGAUUUGAAUUUGAAACUGGAAAGCCUUCAAAAGACCAAUGAUGAGCAAAAGCGCAGGAUUCAGAAAACUGAACGUGCUCUUCAACUGGCGGAGGAAGAGUUGCUGAGGGCACAGUUAGAAGCAACAGCAAGAUCAAAACAGCUGACAGAGGUCCAUGGAGCAUGGCUGCCACCUUGGCUUGCAUACCAUAUAAGUCAUUUUCAGGAGCUUGCAGCAACUCACUGGAAGGAGCGUGCAAAACCAGUAUUGGUUGUUUUCCUGCAAAAGGCAUCAGAGAAAUCAGCACAAGCGCAGAAAUGGGCUGAACCCCAUCUGGAGACAGCUAAGACAAAAUGGAUCCCUGCCAUUAAAGAACAGUGGAUGAUCUUUGUAACCCAUGCUGAACCCUACAGACAAACGGUAUCUACUAAAACUGUUGAGGUUUAUGAGGCAUCCAAGACUACCAUUACAAUGCAUAUUGUCAAAAUACAAGAGCUGGCAGAUCCCUAUUACCAGGAAGCCAAGAAGUUAUCUAAACCCUACAUUGAUCAAGUUGCUACUGUCACCAAACCACAUGUUGAAAAAGUGCGAGUUGCUUUGAAUCCCCAUACAAAGCGUGUCGUUCAGGCAUAUGGAAAAUUUCUUGAAUCAGCAACAACAUAUCACCGCCAGGCUCAAGCUGCUGUCCAUGAACAUCUAAAGAAACAUGAAUUAACAAAACCUCUUGCAACUAAGGAGUUGGUGUGGUUUAUGGCUUCUGCUUUACUGGCAUUACCAAUCUUCUUCUUAUACAGACUCCUAUCAGAUAUUUUCUGCCCUAUUAUGUCAUGUAUAGCGGUAAGAAGACAAGGAAACCUGCACGAAAGGCCCAUGCAAACCCUUCUCACCGCAGACCUAAGCGCAGGCAUGAUGAUAAGAAAGCAACAGAAAAUCAAUAAAAAAAUAUAAUAUCGAUCUUUCUGAUGUUUAUAUGGAAGACUGUGCACGGUCCCAGAAUGUAGUUCAUAGGCUGCUUUGUUGGAGGAAAUCUAAGCAGUGGAGCAAUCUCUUGACAUGCAUUAGUUACGUAGGGGUUCGGUUAUUUGCAGGUUUCAUCUGUGCAUUUGACCUUUUGGAGCUCCAGAGCUUUGCUAUCGGUGGAAGAUAGUUUUGGGGUUUGAAGGGACCUUCGUAUGAAUUUUUUUAGAACAUCCAGCACGAACGAUACGUCUCUUUGUUGUAGAAUGGCGUCCGCAUUUCUUGCGGCGGCACUUAUUUAUGCUUCAUAAAAGAUGUAUUUUUUUCCUUCUCACGCUGAUUCUUGUAUUUGGAUCUGUGCACCGAACUGCCAAAAUCCAUGUUGUAUUAGGGGGAUCGAUUGCUGCUGAAUGCUUGCCUUUGAGUUAAAUUUCCUGUUUAUGCUUGGAAAGACA
This is an RNA transcript of Phoenix dactylifera (date palm), 2021 nucleotides long. RefSeq lists it as uncharacterized. The record is from RefSeq and is a predicted model, not a curated record. NCBI's taxonomy places the organism in Eukaryota, Viridiplantae, Streptophyta, Magnoliopsida, Arecales, Arecaceae.